Molecule: ribosomal RNA, 2918 nt
Filed under: Clostridioides difficile
Lineage: Bacteria; Bacillati; Bacillota; Clostridia; Peptostreptococcales; Peptostreptococcaceae
Description: 23S ribosomal RNA
Rfam family: Bacterial large subunit ribosomal RNA
Source: RNAcentral
UGGUCAAGUUAUUAAGGGUGCAGGGCGGAUGCCUUGGCACUAGGAGCCGAUGAAGGACGUGAUAAGCUGCGAUAAGCUUCGGGGAGUUGCACGUAAACUUUGAUCCGAAGAUUUCCGAAUGAGGAAACUCACUUAGAGUAAUGUCUAAGUAUCAUUAAGUGAAUACAUAGCUUAAUGAGGGGAACUCAGGAACUGAAACAUCUAAGUACCUGAAGGAAGAGAAAGAAAUUCGAUUCCGUAAGUAGCGGCGAGCGAACGCGGAUUAGCCCAAACCAAUAAAGUUUUCUUUAUUGGGGUUGCGGACAUAUCAUAACGAAGAGGUAUCGUAAUUGAAGAGGUUUGGAAAGACCCACCACAGAAGGUAAUAGUCCUGUAUGUUAAACGAGAAGACUUCAGAUAUGAUCCAGAGUACCACGGGACACGUGAAACCCUGUGGGAAGCAGGAGGGACCACCCUCCAAGGCUAAAUACUACCUAGUGACCGAUAGCGUAUAGUACCGUGAGGGAAAGGUGAAAAGAACCCCGGGAGGGGAGUGAAAUAGAACCUGAAACCCUGCACUUACAAGCUGUGGAAGCACAUUUCUUGUGUGACCGCGUACUUUUUUGUAGAACGGGCCAACGAGUUACGUUAAGUAGCAAGGUUAAGCACUUAAGGUGUGGAGCCGUAGCGAAAGCGAGUUUUAACUGAGCGUUCAGUUACUUGACGUAGACCCGAAACCGGGCGACCUACCCAUGAGCAGGAUGAAGCGAAAGUAAAAUUUCGUGGAGGUCCGAACCCACGAGCGUUGAAAAGCUCGGGGAUGACUUGUGGGUAGCGGUGAAAUUCCAAUCGAGCCCGGAGAUAGCUGGUUCUCCCCGAAAUAGCUUUAGGGCUAGCCUCAAGGUGAGAGAUACGGAGGUAGAGCACUGAAUGUCCUAGGGGGUAUUGCACCUACCGAAGACUAUCAAACUCCGAAUGCCGUCAUCUUAUACUUGGGAGUCAGACUGUGGGUGAUAAGAUUCAUAGUCGAAAGGGCAACAGCCCAGAUCGUCAGCUAAGGUCCCUAAAUGUAAGUUAAGUGGUAAAGGAUGUGGGAUUGCACAGACAACCAGGAUGUUGGCUUAGAAGCAGCCACUCAUUCAAAGAGUGCGUAAUAGCUCACUGGUCGAGUGAUCCUGCGCCGAAGAUUUCCGGGGCUAAAACUUACUACCGAAGCUACGGCAUCAGUAAUGAUGGGUAGGGGAGCUUCCCAUACGGGUUGAAGCAUGACCGUAAGGACAUGUGGACAGUAUGGGAGUGAGAAUGUUGGCAUGAGUAGCGAGAUGUGGGUGAGAAUCCCACAGGCCGUAAACCCAAGGUUUCCAGGGGGAAGGUUCGUCCGCCCUGGGUUAGUCGGGACCUAAGCUGAGGCCGAAAGGCGUAGGUGAUGGACAACAGGUUGAUAUUCCUGUACUACCGAUAACCGUUUGAGAGAAGGGAUGACACAGUAGGAUAAGCUAAGCACACUGUUGGUUAUGUGUGCCCAAGCAUUGAGGCAGUCAAAGUAGGCAAAUCCGCUUUGAUAAUGCUGGGAUGUGAUGGGGAGCGAAAUUUAGUAGCGAAGUAGCUGAUUUCACACUGUCAAGAAAAGUCUCUAUCGAGGUUAAAGGUACCCGUACCGCAAACCGACACAGGUGGGUGAGGAGAGUAUCCUAAGGCCAGCGAGAGAACUGUUGUUAAGGAACUCGGCAAAAUGACCCCGUAACUUAGGGAUAAGGGGUGCCACCAUCAGGUGGCCGCAGAGAAUAGGCCCAAGCGACUGUUUACCAAAAACAUAGGUUUCUGCUAAGUCGCAAGACGAUGUAUAGGAGCUGACGCCUGCCCGGUGCUGGAAGGUUAAGGGGAUCUGUUAGAGCAAUCGAAGCAGUGAACUUAAGCCCCAGUAAACGGCGGCCGUAACUAUAACGGUCCUAAGGUAGCGAAAUUCCUUGUCGGGUAAGUUCCGACCCGCACGAAAGGCGUAACGAUUUGGGCACUGUCUCAACAACAGACUCGGUGAAAUUGUAAUUCCGGUGAAGAUGCCGGAUACCUGCGACAGGACGGAAAGACCCCAUGGAGCUUUACUGUAGCUUGACAUUGGGUUUUGGUACUACAUGUACAGGAUAGGUGGGAGGCUUUGAAACCAGGACGCCAGUUUUGGCGGAGCCAUCCUUGGGAUACCACCCUUGUAGUACUGGGACUCUAACCAUAGGCCAUGAAUCUGGUCUUGGGACACUGUCAGGUGGGCAGUUUGACUGGGGCGGUCGCCUCCCAAAAGGUAACGGAGGCGCUCAAAGGUUCUCUCAGUACGGUCGGAAAUCGUACGUAGAGUGUAAAGGCAAAGAGAGCUUGAUUGCAAGACAUACAGGUCGAGCAAGGAUGAAAAUCGGACUUAGUGAUCCGGUGGUUCUGCGUGGAAGGGCCAUCGCUCAACGGAUAAAAGCUACCCUGGGGAUAACAGGCUUAUCUCCCCCAAGAGUCCACAUCGACGGGGAGGUUUGGCACCUCGAUGUCGGCUCAUCACAUCCUGGGGCUGUAGUAGGUCCCAAGGGUUGGGCUGUUCGCCCAUUAAAGUGGUACGCGAGCUGGGUUCAGAACGUCGUGAGACAGUUCGGUCCCUAUCCGUCGCAGGCGUAGGAAAUUUGAGAAGACCUGUCCUUAGUACGAGAGGACCGGGAUGGACGUACCUCUGGUGUACCAGUUGUUCUGCCAAGGGCAUGGCUGGGUAGCUAUGUACGGAAUGGAUAAGCGCUGAAAGCAUCUAAGCGCGAAGCCAACUUCAAGAUAAGAUUUCCCACCGCAAGGGUAAGAUCCCAGAAAGACUAUCUGGUUGAUAGGUCGAAGGUGUAAGUGCAGCAAUGUAUUUAGCUUAUCGAUACUAAUAGGUCGAGGACUUGACCAAUAUUAUUUGAUGUUCACUU